CAGACGGGGGGCUGCAGUGGGGGAUAUUGCACAAUGGGGGGAACCCUGAUGCAGCGACGCCGCGUGGGUGAAGAAGCGCCUCGGCGCGUAAAGCCCUGUCAGCAGGGAAGAAAAUGACGGUACCUGAAGAAGAAGCCCCGGCUAACUACGUGCCAGCAGCCGCGGUAAUACGUAGGGGGCAAGCGUUAUCCGGAUUUACUGGGUGUAAAGGGGGCGCAGACGGCGAUGCAAGCCAGGAGUGAAAGCCCGGGGCCCAACCCCGGGACUGCUCUUGGAACUGCGUGGCUGGAGUGCAGGAGGGGCAGGCGGAAUUACUGGUGUAGCGGUGAAAUGCGUAGAUAUCAGGAGGAACACCGGUGGCGAAGGCGGCCUGCUGGACUGCAACUGACGUUGAGGCCCGAAAGCGUGGGGAGCAAACAGGAUUAGAUACCCUGGUAGUC
Molecule: ribosomal RNA, 440 nt
Filed under: uncultured bacterium
Lineage: Bacteria
Description: partial 16S ribosomal RNA
Rfam family: Bacterial small subunit ribosomal RNA
Source: RNAcentral